This 443-nucleotide ribosomal RNA is filed under the name uncultured Vampirovibrio sp. RNAcentral's name for it is "partial 16S ribosomal RNA". Lineage: Bacteria; Bacillati; Candidatus Melainabacteria; Vampirovibriophyceae; Vampirovibrionales; Vampirovibrionaceae. The record is from RNAcentral.
GACUACACGGGUAUCUAAGCCCAUUCGCUACCCUGGCUUUCGUUCCUCAGUGUCAGUUAUGGCCCAGCUAGUCGCCUACGCCACCGGUGUUCUUCCCAAUAUCUACGCAUUUCACCGCUACACUGGGAAUUCCACUAGCCUCUACCACACUCAAGCCUGCCAGUAUUCAAUGCAGUCCCAGGGUUGAGCCCCGAUCUUUAACAUCAAACUUGACAAGCCACCUACGAACUCUUUACGCCCAAUAAAUCCGGACAACGCUCGCAUCCUACGUCUUACCGCGGCUGCUGGCACGUAGUUAGCCGAUGCUUCCUUUGCUGGUACCGUCAUUUUUUUCGUUCCAGCCGACAGAGCUUUACACCCCAAAGGGCUUCUUCGCUCACGCGGUGUCGCUACGUCAGGCUUUCGCCCAUUGCGCAAAAUUCCCCACUGCAGCCUCCCGUAGG